AGCCUGAUCCAGCAAUGCCGCGUGCAGGAAGAAGGCCUUCGGGUUGUAAACUGCUUUUGUACGGAACGAAACGGUCUGCCCUAAUACGGUGGGCUAAUGACGGUACCGUAAGAAUAAGCACCGGCUAACUACGUGCCAGCAGCCGCGGUAAUACGUAGGGUGCGAGCGUUAAUCGGAAUUACUGGGCGUAAAGCGUGCGCAGGCGGUUAUAUAAGACAGUUGUGAAAUCCCCGGGCUCAACCUGGGAAUUGCAUCUGUGACUGUAUAGCUAGAGUACGGUAGAGGGGGAUGGAAUUCCGCGUGUAGCAGUGAAAUGCGUAGAUAUGCGGAGGAACACCGAUGGCGAAGGCAAUCCCCUGGACCUGUACUGACGCUCAUGCACGAAAGCGUGGGGAGCAAACAGGAUUAGAUACCCUGGUAGUCCACGCCCUAAACGAUGUCAACUGGUUGUUGGGUGCAUUAGUACUCAGUAACGAAGCUAACGCGUGAAGUUGACCGCCUGGGGAGUACGGCCGCAAGGUUGAAACUCAAA
RNAcentral lists this ribosomal RNA (532 nucleotides) under uncultured bacterium. RNAcentral's name for it is "bacterial SSU rRNA". It matches the Rfam family "Bacterial small subunit ribosomal RNA", at positions 380 to 905 of the family's 1533-position model. The record is from RNAcentral.